This 244-nucleotide ribosomal RNA is filed under the name uncultured bacterium. Its description in RNAcentral is "partial 16S ribosomal RNA". It matches the Rfam family "Bacterial small subunit ribosomal RNA", at positions 116 to 354 of the family's 1533-position model. The record is from RNAcentral.
CGUGGGUAACCUGCCCAAGAGACUGGGAUAACACCUGGAAACAGAUGCUAAUACCGGAUAACAACACUAGACGCAUGUCUAGAGUUUAAAAGAUGGUUCUGCUAUCACUCUUGGAUGGACCUGCGGUGCAUUAGCUAGUUGGUAAGGUAACGGCUUACCAAGGCAAUGAUGCAUAGCCGAGUUGAGAGACUGAUCGGCCACAUUGGGACUGAGACACGGCCCAAACCCCUACGGAAGGCAGCAG